This 235-nucleotide unclassified non-coding RNA is filed under the name plant metagenome. RNAcentral's name for it is "partial contains small subunit ribosomal RNA, internal transcribed spacer 1, and 5.8S ribosomal RNA". The record is from RNAcentral.
UUUCCGUAGGUGAACCUGCGGAAGGAUCAUUAAAGUUAUAGUCCCCCGGCCCCUCCGGGCUGGGGUCUUCUAUACCACCCUUUGUUUAUUACACCUUUGUUGCUUUGGCAGGCCUGCCCUCGGGCUGCUGGCUCCGGCCGGCUAGUGCCUGCCAGAGGACCUAAACUCUGUUUGUAUAUGAAGUCUGAGUACUAUAUAAUAGUUAAAACUUUCAACAACGGAUCUCUUGGUUCUG